GGGAAGAGGAGGGAGGGGCAGGGAGAGGGAGGAAAAGGCAGGAGGAAGAACCUGAGAGAAAGGGAGGAACGAGGGAGAAGAGUGGGAGCAGGGAGGAUGAAAAGGAAGAAGAUGAGUGAGGAGGGGAGGAAGGGGAAAUUAUGGCUGAGCAAGUGCAAGGGGGAGCCACAGGUGCGUUAGGAACCCAUACCCCCAAGAGGCUCUAUGAUGUCUAUGAUUCCCUCUGCCACACUCUUCUACCAUGAUGUUCGGCCUCACCUAGAACACUGAGGAAUGGAUCUGGCCUUUUAUGAACGAAGACCUCAGAAAUUAAGCACUCAUCCCCAGAUGACUUUACGACUGUUCUUCCCCAACCAGACUUCAAUCCGACCUGACUUCCAAAAGGGAACUGCUUGCCCCACACUGCCCCCUUCCAGCUUGAAGAAGCCAGAACAGUCGUUGUCCCUUUUCCUUACAGCAGUAAGGAGCUCCUAAAAUCGGGUGGGGGUGUAGCCAGAAUUAGACAGGCUGUCAGUAUAGAUGGGUAAAUCGAGUCAGGUCAGAUCACGGAAGCCAAUUUUGAGUGAGUCUGGGAAGUUGGAGACUGUCCCCUGAAGGAUUGAGAUGUUAAUUCUUUCAGAGCCCUUCCUCCACCCUUAUCAAGAACUUCCCCCUGCUCCACUGUUGCCAAGGUAACGAGUCCCAGAAAUUGCCCCUCCCUACAGGAAGCCAUAAGGUUGUCCUUGACUGCUCCAUCCUGCCCUUCCCCCUCAGCCCACCUGUUUCCCACCUUUUGGGCAUCCCACCAGCAUUUCCUAGGCUUACUCACAUACUCAGAAGAAAGAUAAGGGGAAGAGGGCAGGAGAAGAAAGGAAAUCUAGGACAUAUAAAGAAGGCAGAACACGGGAGAAGUCUGUUACCGCUUUUUAAAUAAACCCUACUUCACAUGCUUGCCUAGGCGUGCAUCGCUAAUGUUCAAAUUCACCCCACCCUAACCCCCUGAUCUCUCAGUGACACCAUUUACCCUGGGGUUAAAACAUCUGUCUGGUCAUCUCCACCCUGAUCUUUUCACCUCUCCCUCUUAUGGGGUGAGGACAGCCUGCCAGAGGCUUCACUCGGAGCUUGUCAGGGUGGGGAGACUUGUUUGUGUCUCAGGCCGUACUGCAGGGCUCCUUAGGUGUGCCUGCUGUUCUGCACCUCACGGGCCCACUCACGGCAGUUUCAAACUGGAGUUUUAAAAAUGGAGUUGCUUAGGCUCAGGCCUAAGGCCAUCCUCACAACAAGAUGUAGGUCCAUCCCCCAAUUUUUUAGCUGCUUGCUUUAGGGUAGCUUCCUUCUUAUUGGAGGCUAAAGUUUAGCUAAGUAAUAACAUAAUGUCCUUCCAGGGGAAGUCAAACACCUGGCAUAAAAUCUGAAACAUCCCAAUAUAUUUAUUUAGAUCCUCCAGAAAUCUCCCUGAGUUUAUUCUUAACGUUGGGGGCCCCCUUGAUUUCUCUUCCUCAGUGGGUGAUUCCAUAAGGCCUUCUCUCAUGGUGGAGAGUGAGGUCAGGCCUGACAACACAUGGAAACAAGGCACUUUCCUGAUCAUCUGUAAUUUCCCAGUAUGUCGACUAGUGGUCAGUCUACACACUGAUUUGAGAGAGAAGCUCCUAAAUGAGUGAAGGAAAAUUCAGGUUUUCUCCUUUAUCAGAGAAAACUGUUUAUCCAAUAUAUUAGGGACAUCUCCCUAAACUUGAGCUUCAUUAUAGUCCAGAAAACCUGUCUCUCAUCACCUGGCUUUGCCAAAGUUAUUUCCGGCCUCCUUUGGGAAAGUGCUAGGGUCCCCGUUUGCCUGUGCCAGAGACCCUGGGAGGAUUCAGACUUAAGGGCGUUACUGCUCUCCUCCCUGCCACUAUAACUCCUGAUUACGAAAACCCAUGAAAAAAAGAAAAUAAUUGUAUGUGUCUUAACCUUUUGUGUCUAAUGCCGUCCUGUAGACUAAAGGGAUCUCCAGAAGGUAAGGGGAACAUCUAUUGGUUGUUGGCGUAUAACAGACACCCCUUUCCAGAGGAGUGUAGUGGAGGGUUAGUUAAAUAGAGUGCCUCCCUCGUGCUGCGGCUUUUGUUUAAAUAUAUUAAGUGCAUCUGAGCACAGAAACAGUAAUGGGAGAUUUUAAACUGGCUGGUGAAGACUGGCUAAGUGAACAGAGGGAACUGGGUGUUUUCUUACUAAUCAUCCCAUGUCUUUCUCUCAGUCUUACAAUCUGAAUU
RNAcentral lists this long non-coding RNA (2228 nucleotides) under Ictidomys tridecemlineatus (thirteen-lined ground squirrel). Its description in RNAcentral is "lncRNA (ENSSTOG00000034700.1)". Lineage: Eukaryota; Metazoa; Chordata; Mammalia; Rodentia; Sciuridae. The record is from RNAcentral.